MicroRNA precursor from Cercocebus atys (sooty mangabey), 63 nucleotides. Lineage: Eukaryota; Metazoa; Chordata; Mammalia; Primates; Cercopithecidae. The record is from Ensembl.
UUGGUGCAAAAGUAAUUGCGGUCUUUGUCAUUAUUGUCAAUGGCAGAGACUACAAUUACUUUU